ACUGCAUAACCACCGUCUCCGGCUUAGAGUCUUCAUACAGUUAUUGUCGUCGUCCUAGAAAACCCAUACAAUCGUCGACCCGGAGUUCUCAGACGGUCCGACCCUCCCUACUCGAGGCUCCAACGAGUUUCGAACUUUCGUUUGCUGCCUUCCAGAUUUUGAAUUUUGGUUGCUAUUGAAGUCAAGAUUACGGUUGGAACUCCAAUGAAGACAGUUAUCGUACAAGAAGUUUUGACUUCAAAUGCAACCUGGGUUAUACUUGAUAGGCAUCUAAGACGGGAAUCGAGGUUUUACCUUAAAUAUAUACCCUGCAAGGUUGCAGUAGUCCUUGAUAACUUUAGCCUAG
This is a long non-coding RNA of Olea europaea var. sylvestris, 346 nucleotides long. RefSeq lists it as uncharacterized. Lineage: Eukaryota; Viridiplantae; Streptophyta; Magnoliopsida; Lamiales; Oleaceae. The transcript has 3 exons. The record is from RefSeq and is a predicted model, not a curated record.